UGCCAGACUCCUACGGGAGGCAGCAGUAGGGAAUUUUGCGCAAUGGGGGAAACCCUGACGCAGCAACACCGCGUGAAUGUUAAGCCCUUCGGGGUGUAAAGUUCUGCCAAUAGGGACGAAUUUUGACUGUACCUAUAAAGGAAGCACCGGCUAACUCCGUGCCAGCAGCCGCGGUAAUACGUAGGGGGCAAGCGUUAUCCGGAAUUACUGGGUGUAAAGGGAGCGUAGACGGUGAAGUAAGUCUGGAGUGAAAGGCGGGGGCCCAACCCCCGGACUGCUCUGGAAACUAUUUGACUGGAGUGCAGGAGAGGUAAGCGGAAUUCCUAGUGUAGCGGUGAAAUGCGUAGAUAUUAGGAGGAACACCAGUGGCGAAGGCGGCUUACUGGACUGUAACUGACGUUGAGGCUCGAAAGCGUGGGGAGCAAACAGGAUUAGAUACCCCGGUAG
Molecule: ribosomal RNA, 447 nt
Filed under: uncultured bacterium
Lineage: Bacteria
Description: bacterial SSU rRNA
Rfam family: Bacterial small subunit ribosomal RNA
Source: RNAcentral